Long non-coding RNA from Python bivittatus (Burmese python), 472 nucleotides. RefSeq lists it as uncharacterized. The record is from RefSeq and is a predicted model, not a curated record. NCBI's taxonomy places the organism in Eukaryota, Metazoa, Chordata, Lepidosauria, Squamata, Pythonidae.
GUAACUUUCUCUUAGUCACGUUCAGAAGAACCACAGAGAGAAACAUGACAAAGAGGAAGUGAUCCAGGAGGACACGUGGCAGGGCUGACUAGAAGGAUUGAGAAGAGUUUGUCGAUAAAGCUGCAAGCAGUGAAUCCAGGUAGGAGAUGUGAGCCAGGAGCUUCUGCUAAUAGGAAAAUGGACUCUGUUCACCACCCACUGAGCUCCAGGAUCUCAGGCAGAAAAAACACAGUCAGCUUGCCUUUUAUAUGGAACAAUAUCAUGGGGCUGACCUAACAUCUUUUUUCAUAGCAAUAUCCAAGUAGAAAUCCUGGCUGAUCUUUCUCCAAUUAUCUUCUCUGCAAUGAACCCUGGAGAUGUUCUGAACCUGUCUAAUCCCAAGCAGAUAAUAAGAGCUCAAGACAACUUGUGGGAUUUCUCUCCAUUUACUCCUACCUGACCUGCGAAGAUCAUAAAUGUGAGGAUUGGUCAC